Molecule: transfer RNA, 77 nt
Filed under: Planctomycetota bacterium
Lineage: Bacteria; Pseudomonadati; Planctomycetota
Description: Planctomycetes bacterium tRNA-Arg
Rfam family: tRNA
About the family: Transfer RNA (tRNA) molecules are approximately 80 nucleotides in length. Their secondary structure includes four short double-helical elements and three loops (D, anti-codon, and T loops). Further hydrogen bonds mediate the characteristic L-shaped molecular structure. tRNAs have two regions of fundamental functional importance: the anti-codon, which is responsible for specific mRNA codon recognition, and the 3' end, to which the tRNAs corresponding amino acid is attached (by aminoacyl-tRNA synthetases). tRNAs cope with the degeneracy of the genetic code in two manners: having more than one tRNA (with a specific anti-codon) for a particular amino acid; and 'wobble' base-pairing, i.e. permitting non-standard base-pairing at the 3rd anti-codon position.
Source: RNAcentral
GCGACCAUAGCUCAAUUGGAUAGAGCACGAGCCUACGAAGCUCGGGGUUGCAGGUUCAAGUCCUGCUGGUCGCGCUA